This 520-nucleotide ribosomal RNA is filed under the name uncultured Actinomycetes bacterium. RNAcentral describes it as "bacterial SSU rRNA". It matches the Rfam family "Bacterial small subunit ribosomal RNA", at positions 340 to 872 of the family's 1533-position model. The record is from RNAcentral. Lineage: Bacteria; Bacillati; Actinomycetota; Actinomycetes.
UACGGGAGGCAGCAGUGGGGAAUAUUGGGCAAUGGAGGAAACUCUGACCCAGCGACGCCGCGUGCGGGAUGAAGACCUUCGGGUUGUAAACCGCUUUCAGUAGGGAAGAAGCGAAAGUGACGGUACCCACAAAAGAAGCACCGGCUAAAUAUGUGCCCGCAGCCGCGGUAAUACAUAGGGCGCGAGCGUUGUCCGGAAUUAUUGGGCGUAAAGAGCUCGUAGGUCGUUUGAUACGUCGGAUGUGAAAACUUGAGGCUCAACCUCAGGCCCGCAUUCGAUACGGGCAAACUAGAGUUUGGUAGGGGAGACUGGAAUUCCUGGUGUAGCGGUGGAAUGCGCAGAUAUCAGGAGGAACACCAAUGGCGAAGGCAGGUCUCUGGGCCAAUACUGACACUGAGGAGCGAAAGUCUGGGGAGCGCACAGGAUUAGAUACCCUGGUAGUCCACACCGUAAACGGUGGGCACUAGUUGUGGGAACCUUCCACGGUUCUGCGACGCAGCUAACGCAUUAAGUGCCCCGC